RNAcentral lists this ribosomal RNA (1041 nucleotides) under Triticum aestivum (bread wheat). Its description in RNAcentral is "partial small subunit ribosomal RNA". Lineage: Eukaryota; Viridiplantae; Streptophyta; Magnoliopsida; Poales; Poaceae. The record is from RNAcentral.
AUGGUGCCCGUCGGUCGACAGCUGCUACGACCGCUCCACGCUCAUCUGCGAGGCCAUCGCGCGCCGCCUCUUCCCCAAGGGCUCGGCCCGGAUCUUCCCGAGGACAUGCCGGACGCGCACUACGCCUACCGCGCGCGGGAGCGCCUCAGCAAGGAGGCCUACGUGCCGCUCCGCCAUGCCCUCGAGCUCCCCGAGACCUUCAUGUCGGCGGGCGAGUGGGGGAAGGUGCUGUACACGCGCGUGGCGUCCGUCGCCAUGAAGAACUAUAAGGACCACUUCAUCUAUCACGACCAAGAGCGCUUCAACGGCUACCUCGCCGACGUCAAGUCGGGAAAGAAGAAGAUCGCGGCGGGCGCCCUGCCGCCGCACAAGAUCCUGGAGUCGGCCGUCGACGGCGAGGACGAGGUCGCCGACCUGCAGUGGAAGCGCAUGGUGGACGACCUGCUGGCGCUGGGCAAGCUCAACAACUGCCUCGCCGUGUGCGACGUGUCGGGCAGCAUGCACGGUGUCCCCAUGGACGUCUGCGUCGCGCUGGGGCUCCUCCUGUCGGAGCUCUGCGAUGAGCCGUGGCGCCACCGCGUGAUCACCUUCAGCGCGGCGCCACAGCUGCACCGCAUCCGCGGCGAGACCCUGUCGGAGAAGGCGGAGUUCAUCUGCGAGAUGGAGUGGGGCAUGAACACCGACUUCCAGGCCGUGUUCGACCAGCUCCUGCGCGUGGCCGUCGCCGGCAAGGUCCCUCCGGAGCGCAUGGUGAAGAAGGUGUUUGUGUUCAGCGACAUGGAGUUCGACGAGGCCGUGGGAGACGGACUACGAGGCGAUCACGAGGAAGUACGCCGAGGCCCGCAGGUGGUGUUCUGGAACCUGCGGGCCUCGCGCUCGGUGCCGGUGACGGCGGAGCAGAAGGGGGUGGCGCUGGUGAGCGGCUUCUCCAAGAACAUGCUCAAGCUGUUCCUCGGCGGCGACUACACCCCGUCGCCCAGGGCCGUCAUGGACAAGGCCAUCUCCGGGCCCAUGUACGAGAAGCUUGUCGUGUUCGACUGA